AGUACACGAAGUGGUUGAUGCCAUGCUUCCAAGAAGAGCUUCUAAGCUUCAGGUAACCAGGAACCGUACCCCAAACCGACACAGGUGGUUGGGUAGAGAAUACCAAGGCGCUUGAGAGAACUCGGGUGAAGGAACUAGGCAAAAUGGCACCGUAACUUCGGGAGAAGGUGCGCCGGUGAGGGUGAAGCAUUUACUGCGUAAGCCCAUGCCGGUCGAAGAUACCAGGCCGCUGCGACUGUUUAUUAAAAGCACAGGACUCUGCAAACACGAAAGUGGACGUAUAGGGUGUGACGCCUGCCCGGGGCCGGAAGGUUAAUUGAUGGGGUUAGCUAACGCGAAGCUCUUGAUCGAAGCCCCGGUAAACGGCGGCCGUAACUAUAACGGUCCUAAGGUAGCGAAAUUCCUUGUCGGGUAAGUUCCGACCUGCACGAAUGGCGUAACGAUGGCGGCGCUGUCUCCACCCGAGACUCAGUGAAAUUGAAAUCGCUGUGAAGAUGCAGUGUAUCCGCGGCUAGACGGAAAGACCCCGUGAACCUUUACUAUAGCUUUGCACUGGACUUUGAAUUUGCUUGUGUAGGAUAGGUGGGAGGCUUUGAAGCGUGGACGCCAGUUCGCGUGGAGCCAACCUUGAAAUACCACCCUGGCAACUUUGAGGUUCUAACUCAGGUCCGUUAUCCGGAUCGAGGACAGUGUAUGGUGGGUAGUUUGACUGGGGCGGUCUCCUCCUAAAGAGUAACGGAGGAGUACGAAGGUGCGCUCAGACCGGUCGGAAAUCGGUCGUAGAGUAUAAAGGCAAAAGCGCGCUUGACUGCGAGACAGACACGUCGAGCAGGUACGAAAGUAGGUCUUAGUGAUCCGGUGGUUCUAUGGAAGGGCCAUCGUUCAACGGAUAAAAGGUACUCCGGGGAUAACAGGCUGAUACCGCCCAAGAGUUCAUAUCGACGGCGGUGUUUGGCACCUCGAUGUCGGCUCAUCACAUCCUGGGGCUGAAGCCGGUCCCAAGGGUAUGGCUGUUCGCCAUUUAAAGUGGUACGCGAGCUGGGUUUAGAACGUCGUGAGACAGUUCGGUCCCUAUCUGCCGUGGACGUUUGAGAUUUGAGAGGGGCUGCUCCUAGUACGAGAGGACCGGAGUGGACGAACCUCUGGUGUUCCGGUUGCCACGCCAGUGGCAUUGCCGGGUAGCUAUGUUCGGAAUAGAUAACCGCUGAAAGCAUCUAAGCGGGAAACUAGCCUCAAGAUGAGAUCUCACUGGGACCUUGAGUCCCCUGAAGGGCCGUCGAAGACUACGACGUUGAUAGGUUGGGUGUGUAAGCGCUGUGAGGCGUUGAGCUAACCAAUACUAAUUGCCCGUGAGGCUUGACCAG
This 1364-nucleotide ribosomal RNA is filed under the name metagenome. RNAcentral describes it as "bacterial LSU rRNA". It matches the Rfam family "Bacterial large subunit ribosomal RNA", at positions 1580 to 2925 of the family's 2925-position model. The record is from RNAcentral.